This 401-nucleotide ribosomal RNA is filed under the name uncultured eukaryote. Its description in RNAcentral is "partial 18S ribosomal RNA". It matches the Rfam family "Eukaryotic small subunit ribosomal RNA", at positions 592 to 976 of the family's 1831-position model. The record is from RNAcentral.
CAAUAGCGUAUAUUAAUGUUGUUGCAGUUAAAAAGCUCGUAGUUGGAUUUCGAAUGGGAGCGGCUGGUCGGCUCCGCAAGGGGUCGCAACCGUGUCUGUCUCCGGUUCUAAUUCGGGUGAUCUUGGUCAUGGCAUUGAUUUGUCGUGGUUGAGUCCCGUCGUUUACUGUGAACAAAUUAGAGUGUUCCAAGCAAGGCUUGACUUGAAUACAUUAGCAUGGAAUAAUAAGAUAGGACUUUGGUGGUUCUGCCCUUUGGGUGGAUAUUUUGUUGGUUUGCACGCCAAAGUAAUGAUUAAUAGGAGCAGUUGGGGGUAUUCGUAUUCAAUUGUCAGAGGUGAAAUUCUUGGAUUUCUAGAAGACGAACUACUGCGAAAGCAUUUACCAAGGAUGUUUNCAUUAA